AAGACAAUGAUGAGAACUUGUACGGUCUCGAAGAGAGAUGAUGACCUAAAAAUCAUGCUCAAGAGAAUUACUCUGUGGCCC
Molecule: small nucleolar RNA, 81 nt
Organism: Suricata suricatta (meerkat)
Lineage: Eukaryota; Metazoa; Chordata; Mammalia; Carnivora; Herpestidae
Gene: SNORD115
Rfam family: Small nucleolar RNA SNORD115
About the family: HBII-52 is a member of the C/D class of snoRNAs, which contain the C (UGAUGA) and D (CUGA) box motifs. HBII-52 is encoded in a tandemly repeated array with another C/D snoRNA, HBII-85, in the Prader-Willi syndrome (PWS) region of chromosome 15.
Source: Ensembl